UCUUUUCGAGAGAUAUGCAAUGGGAGUGCGCUGGGGGGUAGGACCGCCUGUGCGAAGAGCCGGGCAAGGGGUGGGGGCGCGGCGUUUGCGCUGGACGGUCAAGUAGUGAAAGGGGCGGCGGACGAUAGGAUCGCCAAGCUAGGCGGAAACCAACCUAACCGCUUACCACCGCGUGGUCCUCCGCCUCCGCUGCUGCUGCUGCUGCCACCUGGGCUACGCGGACCGCAGCGCCACCGCCAGGGGCCGCCUCACCCAACGGUGGCGUCGCCGUGACCUGAGCCUCGGGUACGGUAGGCUCGAGUUGUGGCGGUUGUCGAGCCCGGAGAAACGUCAGCAGAGGCAGCUGUUCUACAGGCAGUUCAUGGAGCCGCAGUUGGUGGUGCCGGUACUGCAGCCUCAGCACGUCCGGCUGACGGGGCGAGGGUACGUGGCUCGGCAGAUGAUGAAACUCUACUGGCACUCCUUACGACCCGAGUUCCCGGUCUGGAGGUAGCCGAAGUGGUGGCUCUCGAAGUUCUACGCGGCGGUUGGACCAACCCUUAGAGUUUCAACACCUAUGGUACCGCUACUACCGAUAGAAAUGGCCCCAGGUCCCUUUUCACUCAGAAAACCAGGGUUUAAGUGUAGUCCGCUGUAUUAACCGCGACCUUAAUUGAUGUAUCUUGUUGAAGAAAAGAAGUGUUUUUUACCUAGAGACUAACCUCGGAAAGGUUUUCUAUAAUUUCCUGGUGAUAUAGGAUGAUAACGCCAGGUAUCGGUCCUACUUCUCAACUGUCAUUUGAAGCCUUUUCUUGUCAAGACAAAACUAUAACUCCCAAUAUAAGAACUCGUCUUUUACUGCGUUGUUAGAUAAUCGCUGUUUGACAUGAACGUUGGACUAUAGUCAGUAACCUAACAAGCAAGUAUAGAGGAUGUAAUGCCGAUGGUUCUAUGUAACUCAAGAAAACUACGCCGUUCACUUUGACUGGGAGGUCGCUUAGUAGUUUGACCAAUACCCCUUGGAGGACUUUACAUACCAGAAUCGGUGUCUUUUUACAACGCAGUCGAGUAGUAUUUACCCCUAUAGCUAAGACGUAAGUUUUCCGAACUUCUCACCAUAGGUGUCCAGAAUUUCCUGCUUUAUAGUCAAUAAACGAAGAACGAAGUAAGAGUCUCUAAGUAACUUAUGUAGUCCCGACUCGUUGACCUCCCACGACAUUUUAUACGGGCACGAUUGGACCGGUUGAAAAACCGUGUGUUUCGAAAACUCCCCAACGACUUCCUCUCACACCGGGACGAACGCAUACUCUUCGGAAGUCUUAGAACGUAACCUAUAAACGACCUCAGGGGUGUCGCACUUAAACAUCGCCUGCGCCACUUACGACGGUAGGACAGUUGCUUGGGGUUUUACUUCCUAGGUCUCUCGACGGAAAUGAGCACAGACCUCUUCAAUGACUCCGUCGAGUGCCAUACGUCGAGACUCGAUGCACGCAAGUUGUCGCUAGUUCCCCUACAGAAGAAUGAAGUAUUCCUCUAGAUACUUUCUAGGUCCGCAGGGAUUCCGUGCAGCUCGUAAGUAUGCUCGUCAGUUGAGCCUUUUAUUCUAGGAGUAAGAAGAACCUUUCUUUCUUUGUAGUGGACCUUAACACCUGGUACGGUACUCCUUUGUGUGUGUAUAAGAGGGGACUCACUCCGGAGUUCCACUUACCUUUAAAGCGUCGAACCCGUAUCCUGAAAGGUCCUCGAGGAAGGGACAUUAGUCACUUAAAUCUAAGUGCACACUAGAGUUGGGGAAACCACAAAAGUAUUUGAACAACCAAUACACGUCAACGUGUAACACUUGAAAUUCUAUUUCUCGAACUUGUCAUGACAUUUACGUUAGUCUUAUGGUAAGAACAACUGCACGAUACGGUAGUCCAUACAAGCAAGGUCUCUACAUUGACACGCGAGGAAAAGUAAUAGCAUCGUAAACCCAGUUAUCGCAUACUCGUCGCCCUUCCUAUUUUCGUUGCGGUCAAAAAA
RNAcentral lists this ribosomal RNA (2001 nucleotides) under Triticum aestivum (bread wheat). Its description in RNAcentral is "partial small subunit ribosomal RNA". The record is from RNAcentral. Lineage: Eukaryota; Viridiplantae; Streptophyta; Magnoliopsida; Poales; Poaceae.